CGCGGGGUGGAGCAGCUCGGUAGCUCGCUGGGCUCAUAACCCAGAGGUCGCAGGUUCAAAUCCCGCCCCCGCUA
This 74-nucleotide transfer RNA is filed under the name Streptomyces olivochromogenes. RNAcentral's name for it is "tRNA-Met". It matches the Rfam family "tRNA". Rfam says of the family: Transfer RNA (tRNA) molecules are approximately 80 nucleotides in length. Their secondary structure includes four short double-helical elements and three loops (D, anti-codon, and T loops). Further hydrogen bonds mediate the characteristic L-shaped molecular structure. tRNAs have two regions of fundamental functional importance: the anti-codon, which is responsible for specific mRNA codon recognition, and the 3' end, to which the tRNAs corresponding amino acid is attached (by aminoacyl-tRNA synthetases). tRNAs cope with the degeneracy of the genetic code in two manners: having more than one tRNA (with a specific anti-codon) for a particular amino acid; and 'wobble' base-pairing, i.e. permitting non-standard base-pairing at the 3rd anti-codon position. RNAcentral also lists the same sequence under 18 other names. Lineage: Bacteria; Bacillati; Actinomycetota; Actinomycetes; Kitasatosporales; Streptomycetaceae. The record is from RNAcentral.